AACAACUAGCGAAUGUAUAGGUAGCACAUUUUUAGGUGGUAAAUCACUAUAUAGUGAACUCUGUCAAAAUGCAAAAAAAGUAAAUUGAGACGAAUUUAAGGACCCAUUCAUACGGACUAUUGGAAUAAUCACAUUAAUUUUGGUCACUUGACUUAAAAGAUAAUGCGACUAGAAUUAAAGAGAAAAAUCGAAUACGCGAAAACUUUUUGAUUUGUCUCUUUAAUUUGCUUAGAUGUCAAAUACUGU
Molecule: non-coding RNA, 246 nt
Organism: Schizosaccharomyces pombe (fission yeast)
Lineage: Eukaryota; Fungi; Ascomycota; Schizosaccharomycetes; Schizosaccharomycetales; Schizosaccharomycetaceae
Source: the annotation of a GenBank genome assembly